Long non-coding RNA from Drosophila teissieri, 1371 nucleotides. RefSeq lists it as uncharacterized. Lineage: Eukaryota; Metazoa; Arthropoda; Insecta; Diptera; Drosophilidae. The transcript has 3 exons. The record is from RefSeq and is a predicted model, not a curated record.
GCAACUUAGCAUUGAUUAUUUUGUAUUUAUUUAUCCAUUUCAAAUAACCAAAUUCAUAGUUUAAGAUCAUCACCAUAUAUGUUAGAUAAAGAGAAGAAAACUGCAAGCAUCUUUUUAAUUAUUCCGCAUAUAAUUUGCAACAGUAGCUGAAACCGAGUCCAGAAUCCGGGAAGCAGAAACCAGUUUCCACCAGGGCAUCUCAACUUCUCCUCCUCGCCACAAAGCCGCCCUCACAGCCAAGAGGAAAAUGAAGAACGAGCCCAAAAACAAAGCGACCUUGUCGAAGGCAGGCCACCUACAAAGUUAGCCAUGAAAAAUAGGGGGAUAUAUCGUGUGUGGAUGUGUAUAGAGGUGGUGGUGGUGGUGAUGUUGGUGGGAGGAACGCAGGUGGAGCCCAGGGAACCAGUGGUGCCAUAUCCCAUCAUUCUGACUCAUCAUCGGGGGAGAGCAAACAUCAUUUCUUUAUCUGAUGGCAUGCAAAAGAGGCAUCGGCAAAACGGGCAGUUCCAUGUUUUAUGGGCCACUCCGCCCAUCAGUUUCGUUGGGUGUCCAAAAGGGCUGUCUUCCGCAUUUCCAGGUUGAUUCAUUUGAAUGGCCACCACCACCACCACCACCACCACCACACCAGAUGCAAACAGCACGAUUUGUCAUUCAGUCGAGAAAUACAACAAACAAAUACAAAGCAAGAAGAUGGGGGAGAGCAAAUAGUGUCAUGUUUGGCAUUCAAAGACACACAACUUCUAUUAUUAAUACAAAAUGGAAAAUAGCGAGCAAAAGAAUUAUGAAAUAUUCCUAUAUAAGAUCAAAACUCGUUGAUGAGCAACUGGUAUCAUCUGUAUCAUCAUCUUAAUCUUACCGCCUGGCGUGCCAAGCAAACAGUCCAAGCGAAAAAAGCAUCAAAUUCAAAGCGAUAUACCAUAAAUGAAUGAAAAGAUAAUGGUGCCGUUCCGGAGAAGUUCAAAACCGCCUGGAAGCAAGGUCCCACACAAUUGCGAGUGGCAACCAAAGCCAAAGCCAAAGCUCAUUAGGUUUACGGCUAAUAUAUAUUAUAAUGAGUAUGAGUAUGAGUAUCGCCUUAUAAUAGGCACUCUGGUGGCUGCCCUCGUCGCGGGGACGUGGGAAACUUUCCAUCUAUUCAUCUUUUGUCGCAUAGAACACCACGGCGACGAUGAUCGCCAAAGUCAACGGCUGAUGAGCGCCAACAGAGCGAAACCGGUGUUAUGCAAGCGAAACACUCGCCAAAACGCCAAAACAUGCCCCCUUAUUUGGCUUAGUGUAUUCAUACGGCUUCUAAUUGAUCGUAUUUAAAUCCAUUUCAAAAUGUUCCAGCAAUCAAUAUGUAUAUUCUAUCUAUAUAACCAGGAGACUGUA